This 655-nucleotide unclassified non-coding RNA is filed under the name Leishmania donovani. RNAcentral's name for it is "gene:unknown". Lineage: Eukaryota; Euglenozoa; Kinetoplastea; Trypanosomatida; Trypanosomatidae. The record is from RNAcentral.
UUGCUUGCCGCCCCCGACGCUUCUCCCACCUGCAUCCCUGCCUCAUAGCGUUCUUUGAAUUACCCCGUGUCUCAGAGUUUCUUCUGUCGUGUGUUGCGCUGCACUAUUCGUCCCCCUUCUCAUCACCUCUCUCUGCGCGUGGCAUCUCUAAGUUCGAUGUAUUCCAUAGCACUCCCGGUGUCUCUCCCCCCGGGAGCCGUUCCGAAUUUUUUUCUGCCCCCCCCCCUCCUCCUUCGUUUUCCUUCCCUACCUUUUGCUAUCAUUACUUGAGCUAUGCUUGGUGCCAUGGAUGUAAAGCGCAUAGCGAGUGCGUAGGUGUGAGUGCGUCGUGCGUGCCUUUGUUGGCCCCCAUCGCUGUCCGAUCACUGCUUCUCCUAUCCUCCCCUCUGACGGCUUCGUGGGCGUUUGUACAAGCCGUGCACCCGCAAACAACCGACCACAUUUUACAAAGAGUAACCAGCACAGGUAUGCCGUCGUGCGAGAGGAGGGGGCGAACAAGGUCGAGCCUCUCUACCCCUUUCACGCGGCUACAAUGCUGCCGCUGCACAUUCGAAGAGGCGGCGGCCGACAUUUUUUUUUUUCCAGAACUUCCUCAAGCUGCCAGCGAAUCCAGCGGCGGCAAAAAAGAGUUGCGGUACGGUACUCGCUUGUUCAG